This 425-nucleotide ribosomal RNA is filed under the name uncultured bacterium. RNAcentral's name for it is "partial 16S ribosomal RNA". It matches the Rfam family "Bacterial small subunit ribosomal RNA", at positions 354 to 796 of the family's 1533-position model. The record is from RNAcentral.
GUGGGGAAUAUUGGACAAUGGGCGAAAGCCUGAUCCAGCAAUGCCGCGUGAGUGAUGAAGGCCUUAGGGUUGUAAAGCUCUUUUACCAGGGAUGAUAAUGACAGUACCUGGAGAAUAAGCUCCGGCUAACUCCGUGCCAGCAGCCGCGGUAAUACGGAGGGAGCUAGCGUUGUUCGGAAUUACUGGGCGUAAAGCGCACGUAGGCGGUUACUCAAGUCAGAGGUGAAAGCCCGGGGCUUAACCCCGGAACUGCCUUUGAAACUAGGUAACUAGAAUCUUGGAGAGGUCAUUGGAAUUCCGAGUGUAGAGGUGAAAUUCGUAGAUAUUCGGAAGAACACCAGUGGCGAAGGCGACUGACUGGACAAGUAUUGACGCUGAGGUGCGAAAGCGUGGGGAGCAAACAGGAUUAGAAACCCUUGUAGUCC